Molecule: long non-coding RNA, 1330 nt
Organism: Anopheles gambiae (African malaria mosquito)
Lineage: Eukaryota; Metazoa; Arthropoda; Insecta; Diptera; Culicidae
Exons: 3
Source: RefSeq, a predicted model, not a curated record
UCCCCGCGGUGCAAAAUAUGAGAACCCCACUCACGGAUCUCAAAGUUGCAGUGUUUCUCCCUACCUCCGCGAUAUUUUUUACCCUUUUGGCCCAAGUUCUGCUUUGUCGCGCGAUUACAUUUGUUCUCACUCCAUGGUUUGCUUGGUUUUUUGUUAUUUUCUCGUGCGAACUCACUUUGUGCUGCUUCUUCUAGUCUUAGCUUGAUUCCUGUUCACGAAGACGUUGUUUUCACCGUGUGUUUUGACAGUUUAAUUCUGUUCCAUUUUUCAAAGCGAAUAAACCAUCAUGUCUAAGCGUUCGAAACAGACGGGAAAUUUUUAUACGAAGAGGGCUCGGUUGAUGGAUGAGGUCGAAAGGAAUGUGGAUGCAUUAAACAUCACGCUUGAAACGGCUUCGACUUCUGUUUGGCCGGACCUUGGAGUGGAAGUUACACCAGAAGAUUUGGAAUUGUUGUUUGCAGGAUGUAGUUCGGCAGAGCCAACAACAUCUACCACUACAACAACAUCGAACGCAACCACGACAUCGAACGAUUUUCAUGAAUUUGAAGAUACCUAUAAUUCGGCAGAUGUUGUGACUGAUGCCAAUGAUCGCUUCGAAUUCAUGAAAAAUUUGAAUUUGAAAGAUGCACUUGUGCAUCUUAUCAUUCUUGGCCAUGCUUCACGUUUUUUAACAGAAGGCUUCCUUGCCAACUUAAGGAAGUUCUUUAAAGCUAAAGUCCCUAAAACAAAAAGAACUUUGCUAAAAACUGAAGCCGAUAUUAAAUCAGAAAUUACACCAAUUAAUGGGGGUAAAUUAUGGUACCGUGGCAUAGAAAAAGUGCUUCUUAAAUAUUUUGAGUAAGUAUUUUUGAAACAUAUUGGUACUAAAUGAAAUUUCUCAUUCGAUGUGUGUAUAUUACAGAGAUAUUGAUCCUGAACCGGACAUAUUUACCAUCGAUGUUUCUAUCGACGGGCUUCCACUGUUUAUAAGUUCCCGUAAACAGCUUUGGCCAAUACAAAUAAGGGUGGUCGAAUUACCAAAAGUUCCACCAUUUGUCAUUGGAACUUAUGGAGGCCCGAAGAAACCCCAUAGUAUUGGAGAAUUUUUGAAUCCUUUGGUAAAGGAAAUAAACGAUCUCCAAAAAAGAGGCCUUCAGUUUAAGCAUAAGUUGGUGCCAAUGUUUCUUCGGGCUUUUAUUGCAGAUUCGCCGAUGCGGGCCACUUUGAAAGGUAUGUUUAUGAUUUUACUAUGGAAGUAAUUAUAGCUUCCAUACCAUAUGUUUCACCAACUUUUCCAUCCGUAUAUUUGCAGCUACAAUGAAUUUCAAUGCAAGACACAUGUGUUGGGACA